Molecule: non-coding RNA, 1673 nt
Organism: Plectropomus leopardus (leopard coralgrouper)
Lineage: Eukaryota; Metazoa; Chordata; Actinopteri; Perciformes; Serranidae
Source: the annotation of a RefSeq genome assembly
AUGGUCACCGUCACCUCAGAUUCAGCACUGUGCUACUACGCUGCUUUUGACUACUGGGGAAAAGGUACAAUGGUAACUGUUUCAUCAGCCACUUCAUCUGCACCAACAGUGUUUCCUCUGAAGCCAUGUGAUACUGAGUCUGGAGAUACGGUCACUCUUGGCUGCCUUGCCACCGGCUUCACACCCUCCACAGUGACCUACGCAUGGAGCACAGGAAAAGGGGUUGCCUUGACAGGCUCCAUUCAGUACCCCCCAGUGUUGAAAAACAACCUUUAUACUGGAUUCAGUCAAGUUCGAAUAAGCAGUCAGGAAUGGAACACCGAGAAAGCCUUUUUCAAAUGUGCCGUGACACACACAGCGGGAAACGGAGAGGCUAUUAUCAUAAAAGACGCUGUGAAAUACAUUCCACCAACUCUUAAAGUGUUCACCUCCUCUGAUGAGGACAACGAGAUUUCCUUCUCCUGCUUUGCCAAAGAUUUUUCACCAAAAGAAUUUGACAUCAAAUGGCUGAAAGAUGACAAAGAAUUCACCAACAAAAAAUAUGAGAUCAAAACACCUUACACGGAGAUAAAAGACCAGAACGAAACUAAGCUCUACAGUGCAGCAAGUCUUCUUACAGUGCCCUCCAAUGAGAUAACACCCAUCAAUAUUGUCACAUGUCAGUUUAAGGGGAGAGAUGAACACGGCCCAAAAGACACAAAUUCAUCUAUAAGUCAAACCACUUGUUGUGACGAAAAUAACGGGGAAUGUCCUGAGGCAGAUGUGGACAUAAAAAUCAUUGGACCAACAAUGGAGGACAUCUUCAAAAAUGGAGAGGGAACUGUAGAUUGUCAAGUCAAGAUUAACGAACCAUCUGUCGAGAGGAUUUUUUGGGAAACCCCAGAUGGAAACCCAAUACCUGGUGCCAAACCAGUGACGCCCCCUAACGGAAGUAAACAAACAUUCACCGCUAAACUUCCCAUCACAUUUGACGAAUGGAGCAGGGGGGAAAAGUACAUAUGCAUUGUUGAACAUAACAAACACUUUAACCAACUUAAGAAACCCUACCAAAGGAUUAUUGGAGGACAGAUUCAGCGUCCUUCAGUUUUUAUGCUACCUCCACUAGAACAUACUAAAACAGAAACAGUGACCCUGACUUGCUAUGUGAAAGACUUCUACCCUAAGGAAGUUUUUGUGUCUUGGCUUGUUGAUGACGAGGAAGCAAACUCAAAAUAUGAGUUCUAUACAACAGACCCUGUAGGAAAUGGUGAAUCCUAUUCAGCCUAUGGCCAUUUAACCAUCAGCCUUGCCCAGUGGAAAAACAAUGACACAGUGUACAGCUGUGAAGUCUUCCACGAGUCUGUGUCUAACUCAACUAAAGCUAUUGUCAGGUCCAUCGGGCACAGAACAUUUGAAAGAACCAACAUGGUCAACCUCAACAUGAACAUCCCUGAAAAGUGCAAGCCCCAACAGUGCAUUAACACUGUUUUGCAUACAGACUUCUACCAAGGGAACAGUGCCACAGAGACAGAUAAAGAUGACAUGGUGACCACGGCCAUCACCUUCAUUCUGCUCUUCCUUCUCACUCUGCUGUUCACCAUUGGAACUACUGCUUUCAAGGUUAAAUGAAACAAGGUGAACUUUCUGUAAAAAGAAAAAUUAUUUCCACACAUUUGUUCUUAUAAAGUCAUUGU